Molecule: long non-coding RNA, 357 nt
Organism: Nannospalax galili (Upper Galilee mountains blind mole rat)
Lineage: Eukaryota; Metazoa; Chordata; Mammalia; Rodentia; Spalacidae
Exons: 2
Source: RefSeq, a predicted model, not a curated record
UCUUUGGUUUUCUACAUUCUAACACACCCUACUUGAGUUUGAACCUUGAAAUGAUCUCAGCAUAAACCUAAACACUCUCGCCUUCUUUUAAACUUCAUAUUUUAAUCUGGGGGCGGAGAUAAACUAACCAAGAGGCAUUUGCUGGAGCCACUCACAAGGAAGGCUGCUUGAGGCUGCUGCUUGAGCCUUCCUCCAAUCUAGCCUCAUAUACAGAUUCUGAGUCUGAAUCCUGGAACCUCAACUUGUUCUUGAACUAUGAGGUUGGUAACAGGACUUACCAUUCUCCUAACUUUGGAAAGUCCUGUACCUUGGUCCUGCCUCACGUCAGCCUGAGCGAUGCCGCUGUCUACUACUGCA